GGAGGGCGCUUACCACGGUAGGAUUCGUGACUGGGGUGAAGUCGUAACAAGGUAGCCGUAUCGGAAGGUGCGGCUGGAUCACCUCCUUU
This 89-nucleotide non-coding RNA is filed under the name Pseudoduganella sp. GW821-FHT05F09. RNAcentral describes it as "partial 16S ribosomal RNA". It matches the Rfam family "Bacterial small subunit ribosomal RNA", at positions 1445 to 1533 of the family's 1533-position model. Lineage: Bacteria; Pseudomonadati; Pseudomonadota; Betaproteobacteria; Burkholderiales; Oxalobacteraceae. The record is from RNAcentral.